UCUAAUGUGGCAGAUAAGUGCGGUGGAUUUAAGCUCCACAAAUAAAGUAUUUAAACUUUCUUUAGAA
RNAcentral lists this transfer RNA (67 nucleotides) under Schedorhinotermes medioobscurus. RNAcentral's name for it is "tRNA-Leu". Lineage: Eukaryota; Metazoa; Arthropoda; Insecta; Blattodea; Rhinotermitidae. RNAcentral also lists the same sequence under 3 other names. The record is from RNAcentral.